GAUGAACGCUGGCGGCGUGCCUAAUACAUGCAAGUCGAGCGAACAGACGAGGAGCUUGCUCCUCUGACGUUAGCGGCGGACGGGUGAGUAACACGUGGAUAACCUACCUAUAAGACUGGGAUAACUUCGGGAAGCCGGAGCUAAUACCGGAUAAUAUAUUGAACCGCAUGGUUCAAUAGUGAAAGACGGUUUUGCUGUCACUUAUAGAUGGAUCCGCGCCGCAUUAGCUAGUUGGUAAGGUAACGGCUUACCAAGGCGACGAUGCGUAGCCGACCUGAGAGGGUGAUCGGCCACACUGGAACUGAGACUCGGUCCAGACUCCUACGAGAGGCAGCAGUAGGGAAUCUUCCGCAAUGGGCGAAAGCCUGACGGAGCAACGCCGCGUGAGUGAUGGAGGUCUUCGGAUCGUAAAACUCUGUUAUUAGGGAAGAACAAAUGUGUAAGUAACUAUGCACGUCUUGACGGUACCUAAUCAGAAAGCCACGGCUAACUACGUG
Molecule: ribosomal RNA, 497 nt
Filed under: uncultured bacterium
Lineage: Bacteria
Description: partial 16S ribosomal RNA
Rfam family: Bacterial small subunit ribosomal RNA
Source: RNAcentral